RNAcentral lists this ribosomal RNA (493 nucleotides) under uncultured bacterium. RNAcentral's name for it is "bacterial SSU rRNA". It matches the Rfam family "Bacterial small subunit ribosomal RNA", at positions 903 to 1397 of the family's 1533-position model. The record is from RNAcentral.
AAAUGAAUAGACGGGGGCCCGCACAAGCGGUGGAGCAUGUGGCUUAAUUCGAGGCAACGCGAAGAACCUUACCUGGGCUUGAAAUAAUAGUGACAGUCGUAGAAAUACGAUCUUCCUUCGGGACGCUACUACAGGUGCUGCAUGGCUGUCGUCAGCUCGUGCCGUGAGGUGUUCGGUUAAGUCCGACAACGAGCGCAACCCGCGUCAUUAGUUGCCAUCAGGUAAUGCUGGGGACUCUAAUGAGACUGCCCGUGUAAGCGGGAGGAAGGCGCGGAUGACGUCAAGUCAGUAUGGCCCUUACGCCCAGGGCUGCACACGUGCUACAAUGGGUGGUACAAUGAGACGCAAAGCUGCGAGGCUGAGCAAAUCUACAAAACCACUCUUAGUUCAGAUUGCACUCUGCAACUCGAGUGCAUGAAGUUGGAAUCGCUAGUAAAGGCGUAUCAGCUACGACGCCUUGAAUACGUUCCCGGGCCUUGUACACACCGCCCGU